CCUACGGGUGGCUGCAGUGGGGAAUAUUGGACAAUGGGCGCAAGCCUGAUCCAGCCAUGCCGCGUGAGUGAUGAAGGCCCUCGGGUCGUAAAGCUCUGUGGGAGACCACGAAACCACGCUGGCUAAUAUCCAGCGUGCUGACGGUAGUCUCUUAGCAAGCACCGGCUAACUCCGUGCCAGCAGCCGCGGUAAUACGGAGGGUGCAAACGUUGCUCGGAAUCAUUGGGCGUAAAGCGCACGUAGGCGGCCUCGCAAGUCAGAUGUGAAAUCCCUCG
This 275-nucleotide ribosomal RNA is filed under the name uncultured bacterium. Its description in RNAcentral is "partial 16S ribosomal RNA". It matches the Rfam family "Bacterial small subunit ribosomal RNA", at positions 338 to 606 of the family's 1533-position model. The record is from RNAcentral.